UCUCGAUUAGUAUAGUGGUCAGUAUACGGGCUUGUCAUUUGACAUGUACGCCCGGGACCCGGGUUCAAUUCCCGGAUCGAGAG
Molecule: transfer RNA, 83 nt
Organism: Pseudomassariella vexata
Lineage: Eukaryota; Fungi; Ascomycota; Sordariomycetes; Amphisphaeriales; Pseudomassariaceae
Rfam family: tRNA
About the family: Transfer RNA (tRNA) molecules are approximately 80 nucleotides in length. Their secondary structure includes four short double-helical elements and three loops (D, anti-codon, and T loops).
Source: Rfam